ACUCCUACGGGAGGCAGCAGUGGGGAAUAUUGCACAAUGGGGAAACCCUGAUGCAGCCAUGCCGCGUGUGUGAAGAAGGCCUUCGGUUGUAAAGCACUUUCAGUAGGGAGGAAGGUAGUGUAGUUAACACCUGCACUAUUUGACGUUACCUACAGAAGAAGCACCGGCUAACUCCGUGCCAGCAGCCGCGGUAAUACGGAGGGGUGCGAGCGUUAAUCGGAAUUACUGGGCGUAAAGCGCAUGCAGGCGGCCUGUUAAGUCAGAUGUGAAAGCCCGGGGGCUUAACCUCGGAAUUGCAUUUGAAACUGGCAGGCUAGAGUCUUGUAGAGGGGGUAGAAGUUUCAGGUGUAGCGGUGAAAUGCGUAGAGAUCUGAAGGAAUACCAGUGGCGAAGGCGGCCCCCUGGACAAAGACUGACGCUCAGAUGCGAAAGCGUGGGGAGCGAAACAGGAUUAGAUACCCUGGUAGCACAGAG
RNAcentral lists this ribosomal RNA (474 nucleotides) under uncultured bacterium. Its description in RNAcentral is "bacterial SSU rRNA". It matches the Rfam family "Bacterial small subunit ribosomal RNA", at positions 335 to 799 of the family's 1533-position model. The record is from RNAcentral.